AAAUCCCUUUCUCAAGGUUUGAUGUCCACUGAGUCACUGCCUGCCCCUGUGUACCUGGUCCACCUGCUUUUAAAGCAACCAGGGCUUUAUUUCAGUUCCAUUUUCAAGGAGCUAGAGUGGAGGGGAGGGCAGGUUGUUAUUUUGUUUUAAAAAAGGGGGUCUGGUUUUUGUCCAGUCAGAGGGAUGUCCAGGUGUUUUCACAGCAGCCCCCAAUGCAGGCCUGGAGGGCUGGAGUGGAUUUCAGGACUUGUUUGCCAAACUACACUUUCAAGAGGUGUCAGAUAUCGAAAACCAAUUUGGAAUGCCAAGACAUAGAAGAGGUUUGGACAUCACCUUCCAUAGACAAAGCAGCUUGAUUCUGUGGCCCUCCUCUCUGGCCAUGACCCUUUGCUGUUUACGUGUUCUCCAUACAUGAGGAAACUAUUCUAGGAAGUGACUUUCUACCCUUGUUCCAACUGAGAAAUUAUAUAGAGUGAUGCUAACCUCUCAGAGGGCCAAAGUUCACCAGGCAUCAUCAAUUUAAUAUCUGGAUGGUCUCCAGAUCCCCAGAAUGGAGUGGCUCUAGGUAUCCUCUUAAUUCAUUCUACAGACCAGGAGAUGGCAUCAGCAACAACAUCUGUGAAAACAAAAAUUUUGCAUUUAUUAUUUAUUUUGCCACAGGGCUUAAGCCAAGAAUAAAAACUCUCAACCUCGUAAUAGACCUGUAAGAGUUUUCCUCUUUUCAGCUUCAUCCUGCCUAGGAGGAAGAGCAGGUGGAAUGGGUCAGAAAGAUCCUUUUUGAGGUUCCACCUCUGACACAAGGACUUAAAGGUCCUACCACAAUGGAAAUGUAUAAAGACUUGGUUUCAGUGAUGAACCUAAUCUGAAGAUCAACCAUUGAUUGAUUGACUACAGGUUGAAUAAUAUUUUGGCUAUAGGAAUUCUCAAAGUCAUUAAUCAAUCAACAAGCAUAUAUUAAGUCUCUAUUAUGUUCCAGAUACCAUGCUAGGUUGUAGGGAUACAGAGACUAAGACCAUGUAAGAAGUUAUAGAAACAUGCUGGAGGGAGUAUCAACAAAGAUGAAGUUAAAGACCCAUGACAGAGAAGAUUCUCAGUUGUUACAGCCUACAAGCAAUCAUGUCUAAUUCUGAAAUUCAUGAGAGAGGCUUCUUAGUGGAGGACACCUUCAGAAAUGUAAUUUUAUUUUACAGAAAUGAUUUUUUUAAAUAGACAUCAAACAAGAAGCCUGGGGAGAAUCAAACAUUCUUAUCACCUGUGUGACUACAAAGAAGCAACUGCCAUUGAAUGACUUCCUAAAGCUUCCCUAUUGACUCCUCAUGCUUUCAUAGAAGAUAGCCUUAGAAUCUGGGUGUAGAUUAUUCUAUUCUAUAAUAAAUACUGCAAUAUAAUAAAUGGAAUAAAUGUU
This 1405-nucleotide long non-coding RNA is filed under the name Monodelphis domestica (gray short-tailed opossum). RNAcentral describes it as "lncRNA (ENSMODG00000030970.2)". Lineage: Eukaryota; Metazoa; Chordata; Mammalia; Didelphimorphia; Didelphidae. The record is from RNAcentral.